UCCAUUGCUCAGUUGGUAAAGCACAAAGCUAUUAACCUUGUGGACAUGGGUUCAAGCCCUAUGAUGGAA
Triticum aestivum (bread wheat) is the source of this 69-nucleotide non-coding RNA. The record is from Rfam. Lineage: Eukaryota; Viridiplantae; Streptophyta; Magnoliopsida; Poales; Poaceae.